Molecule: long non-coding RNA, 268 nt
Filed under: Gallus gallus (chicken)
Lineage: Eukaryota; Metazoa; Chordata; Aves; Galliformes; Phasianidae
Description: long non-coding RNA NONGGAT002770
Source: RNAcentral
UCCAGGCAUCUUCUUGAAUCUCUCAUUUUCCUGAACAAGUGCAAUGAUGAGAGAUCUUGUUGGACACAGAAGAGAAGAGAGACAAUAUUUGUCUGGAGCAGCUCUUGCCAGAUGAGAAAUCCCUCAGUGUGCACACAGUUGUUUGACCACCUCGCACAAUGAAAUGCUGCAUCGGGAAUAUCCAUAUGAUAAGGAGACUGGAGGAUGCUUUUCUGCAUAACUUUAUCAUUCCAAUGGUCUGGAGGAUUUGGAUGAUUGAAAACCAACA